RNAcentral lists this ribosomal RNA (429 nucleotides) under Actinomycetes bacterium. Its description in RNAcentral is "Actinobacteria bacterium partial 16S ribosomal RNA". It matches the Rfam family "Bacterial small subunit ribosomal RNA", at positions 355 to 776 of the family's 1533-position model. The record is from RNAcentral. Lineage: Bacteria; Bacillati; Actinomycetota; Actinomycetes.
UAGGGAAUCUUCCGCAAUGGGCGAAAGCCUGACGGAGCAACGCCGCGUGAGUGAUGAAGGUCUUCGGAUCGUAAAACUCUGUUAUUAGGGAAGAACAAAUGUGUAAGUAACUAUGCACGUCUUGACGGUACCUAAUCAGAAAGCCACGGCUAACUACGUGCCAGCAGCCGCGGUAAUACGUAGGUGGCAAGCGUUAUCCGGAAUUAUUGGGCGUAAAGCGCGCGUAGGCGGUUUUUUAAGUCUGAUGUGAAAGCCCACGGCUCAACCGUGGAGGGUCAUUGGAAACUGGAAAACUUGAGUGCAGAAGAGGAAAGUGGAAUUCCAUGUGUAGCGGUGAAAUGCGCAGAGAUAUGGAGGAACACCAGUGGCGAAGGCGACUGUCUGGUCUGUAACUGACGCUGAUGUGCGAAAGCGUGGGGAUCAAACAGG